AACAAAAAACAUAAAUUGGUAAAUACCAACAAUACUAAACAUUCCUUUAACAACUAUCAAACAAUUGUCUAUGUUAAGCUAGUUAUACAAAUAUUUGUACAUAUACCUUGAAUGUUAUUCAUGCCUCGAUACCACUGGUUGAAGCAAAGUCCACCGCAAAUUGAUGAUCCAUAAUAGGCACAUCAUACGGACUUUCAAAAUCAGAAUUGCAUCUUUUUAAAGUUUUUACUGACAGAUUAUGUACAAUUGGAACAUCAUAUAAAUUUUUAAAAUAAAAAUAUUAUGUUCAGUUGACAUACUCACAAUUGAUUGAACUUUGAAUGUUCAAAGUUCAAUAGUUUCACAGUUAACACUGACAAUAACAUUCCUAUCUAUUACUACAGAAGAAUAACCCAUAGUACAUGGCAAUUUUAAAUGAUCUAAAAGAGGAACAUCAUAAAGCUCAUCAGAAAAAAAUCACUAUAAUUUGAAUGAUUAGCAGUUUGUAUUUAUCUUAUUCUUUUCCUCGUACCUCCAUUUGACAUUGCAUUUGUACAAUAUACACAAUACACAAAUUAAACUUACAAAACUUAUAUAUUAAUGUAAUAUCCCCUACCCUCAAUAGUUGACUUUCAAGUACCAAAAGAGAAAAGUAUUCUUACUAUCUAAGUUCAAAAUAAAUAUUUUUCAAGAAACCAAAAAUAAACCAUAAGCAUUUUAACAAUUUAUUGUGCAUACUUGUCUAUACAAACAAAAUACACAAAGGAAAAGUAUACGAAUAAAAUUUCUAUCAAAGCAACAAAGCAAUGAGAAUAUAAUGAAAUAACCUAAAAGACAAAAGUAUAAAAAAAUAGGAAGUUAUUUGUAAACAUUGCAAACUCAUAGGCAAACAGAUUUAUCAAUUUCAAACUAUUGAAAACCUCAAGUAUAUAAUUCAAUAACUUGAAUGACCAAAUCUGAGCUUAGAGACAAUCAAACAAUUUGAAACCAAAUUGAAUUAAAAAUGAAGAACAUAAUACUAAAAUUAAAGAAACUGAAAUAAAUAUAAAGAACAUAAUAGUAUAACCAAACAAAAAAAUUUGAAUUGAAAUAGAAGAUUUCAUUACUUUCUUAAUAUGGCUAAAAAGAGAAUAGAAAAGCAAAAUGAUAACAAAACAUUGCAACAUUAAACCCUAAACCAUAAGAAAACAAAAAACACGAAAUUAAAUAAUGAUAAAAUAAAAGGAAAAUAAAAAGCUAUUAUGAGGAGAAAAUAUCAUCGAAUAAACUAAUCAACAAAGAGAACUUAUAAGAGAAAAGAAAGAAUAACAAAAUCUUACAACACAUAUUAAAAUUUGCAACAUUAAACUCUAUACCAUACCUUAAACCACAGAAAACAAAAAAACAAAAAAAAAAUAACAAUGAUAAUAAACUAAUCAAGAAAGAGACCUUAAAACAAAGAAGAAAGAAAACCCUAAACCAUGCUUUUUAACUUUUCCAAAAUGAAAUAGGAGAAAUCAAUCAUAAAGCAAUGACGACAAGCAUCACUUAAUAGACUCUUCCAAAAGAGGUAUAGAAAGGACCAGUUAUCAUGCAAUGAACCGAAGUAACUGGUUAAUAGAGCUCCUCAGAAGACAAAGUGAAAUUAGUAGACAAAUCACUGACAUUUUCUUUUACACUUAUAUGCGCAAAAUGACAUCGUUUUGAAACAAUAAGCAAACCCUAAAACCAUUAAUCCCACAACUAACUCUACCGACAAAAAAUCAAGAUUAGCCACCAACAAAAAACGACCACCUCAAUUGAAUCUUAAAACAAAACCCUAAACCCAUCAAAAGAAAAACCGCCUCAUCCCUACAGCUUUCACAACCAAAAACCUAUCUAGCAAAUGUGAUAACCCAUCACCCUCAAUCAUCCUUUCUUCUUCUUUCUCCCCACCAAUUUUGUCCAACAAAAACUCGAACCCCUCCCUCGAUAAAUAAACAGCACCCAUAAUACCACACUUUUUCCCAUUCAACCCCAAAAGCCACCCUUUAAGCAGUGAACCCUAAAGCCCUUCAUUCCUCCAUCCUCGUCCCUUUUCCUUAUUUCUUCCAUUUAAUCAAAGCACUCAAUAACCAAAACUAUAAAAAAAAAUGUUACGACAAAGAAACCGAAAUAGAGAAAAUAAAAUAGAUAUCUAAACUUACCAAAACCCUACCUAAACAAGCCAAAUGGUAAGGUUAAAAACAACGUCGAUUUGAGCAACCCAACAAGAAAAGGGGAAAAAGCUCAUAAGCUUGCAAAACAACAUUAUUUUGCAAAAUGGGG
Molecule: long non-coding RNA, 2265 nt
Filed under: Theobroma cacao (cacao)
Lineage: Eukaryota; Viridiplantae; Streptophyta; Magnoliopsida; Malvales; Malvaceae
Description: long non-coding RNA (TCAC_LNC004804)
Source: RNAcentral